Molecule: long non-coding RNA, 310 nt
Organism: Nothobranchius furzeri (turquoise killifish)
Lineage: Eukaryota; Metazoa; Chordata; Actinopteri; Cyprinodontiformes; Nothobranchiidae
Source: RefSeq, a predicted model, not a curated record
UUGUAAAGGUGAACUAUUUCUUUAUGUUUAACAACGGCAAAGGUAUACAGGCUUUUAUUUUGAUAGCGUCAUAGCAACCGUAGCCAAGUAAGGAGGCGCAACGGGCGUUACACAGAAGAAGCAAACGGAAAUCUAAAGUAGAAAUCUAAAGUAAAGACGGAGCAAAGGAUAGGCUAUUAACGGUUCACGGAGAAGAAGACAAAGAAAGUUUGAGGAAUACUUCUGUCUAGCUUCAGUUGAUAAGGGGAACAAGCUCUUACGUUGGUUGGUUGAUGAUACGGACGGCUCAAUAAAUCAUCAUUCACCAUCA